Molecule: ribosomal RNA, 486 nt
Filed under: uncultured bacterium
Lineage: Bacteria
Description: bacterial SSU rRNA
Rfam family: Bacterial small subunit ribosomal RNA
Source: RNAcentral
GAUGAACGCUAGCGGCAGGCUUAAUACAUGCAAGUCAAGGGGGUAGCAAUACAACCGGCGCACGGGUGAGUAACGCGUACACAACAUACCAUAUACUGGAGUAUAGCUUUGGGAAACUGAAGGUAAUCCUCCAUAACAUUGCGAGAGGGCAUCUGAUUGCAAUUAAAGUUUCGGCGGUAUAUGAUUGGUGUGCGUUUGAUUAGCUAGUUGGUAGGGUAACGGCCUACCAAGGCGACGAUCAAUAGCUGGCGUGAGAGCGCGACCAGCCACACUGGAACUGAGACACGGUCCAGACUCCUACGGGAGGCAGCAGUAGGGAAUAUUGGACAAUGGAGGAAACUCUGAUCCAGCCAUGCCGCGUGAUAGAUGAAGGCCCUCUGGGUUGUAAAUAUCUUUUAUCUGGGAAGAAACACUCCUAUUCUUAGGAACUUGACGGUACCAGAGGAAUAAGGCACCGGCUAACUCCGUGCCAGCAGCCGCGGUAAU